Molecule: ribosomal RNA, 255 nt
Filed under: uncultured bacterium
Lineage: Bacteria
Description: partial 16S ribosomal RNA
Rfam family: Bacterial small subunit ribosomal RNA
Source: RNAcentral
AACGAACGCUGGCGGCAGGCUUAACACAUGCAAGUCGAACGCUGUAGCAAUACAGAGUGGCGCACGGGUGAGUAAUACUUGGGAAUAUGCCUUUUAGUUGGGAAUAACCACUGGAAACGGUGGCUAAUACCCGAUACGCCCUCCGGGGGAAAGAUUUAUCGCUAAAGAUUAGCCCAAGCCAGAUUAUGGUAGUUGGUGAGGUAAUGGCUCACCAAGCCUACGAUCUGUAGCUGGUCUGAGAGGACGACCAGCCAC